RNAcentral lists this ribosomal RNA (495 nucleotides) under uncultured bacterium. RNAcentral describes it as "partial 16S ribosomal RNA". It matches the Rfam family "Bacterial small subunit ribosomal RNA", at positions 28 to 507 of the family's 1533-position model. The record is from RNAcentral.
GAUGAACGCUGGCGGCGUGCCUAAUACAUGCAAGUAGAACGCUGAAGGAGGAGCUUGCUCUUCUGGAUGAGUUGCGAACGGGUGAGUAACGCGUAGGUAACCUGCCUGGUAGCGGGGGAUAACUCUUGGAAACGAUAGCUAAUACCGCAUGACAACAGUUAUUGCAUGAUAACCGUUUAAAAGGGGCAACUGCUCCACUACCAGAUGGACCUGCGUUGUAUUAGCUAGUUGGUGAGGUAACGGCUCACCAAGGCGACGAUACAUAGCCGACCUGAGAGGGUGGUCGGCCACACUGGGACUGAGACACGGCCCAGACUCCUACGGGAGGCAGCAGUAGGGAAUCUUCGGCAAUGGACGGAAGUCUGACCGAGCAACGCCGCGUGAGUGAAGAAGGGUUUCGGAUCGUAAAGCUCUGUUGUAAGAGAAGAACGAGUGUGAGAGUGGAAAGUUCACACUGUGACGGUAUCUUACCAGAAAGGGACGGCUAACUACGUG